This 548-nucleotide ribosomal RNA is filed under the name uncultured bacterium. RNAcentral describes it as "bacterial SSU rRNA". It matches the Rfam family "Bacterial small subunit ribosomal RNA", at positions 355 to 896 of the family's 1533-position model. The record is from RNAcentral.
UAGGGAAUCUUCGGCAAUGGGGGGAACCCUGACCGAGCAACGCCGCGUGAGUGAAGAAGGUUUUCGGAUCGUAAAGCUCUGUUGUUAAGGAAGAACGUGUGUGAGAGUGGAAAGUUCACACAGUGACGGUACUUAACCAGAAAGGGACGGCUAACUACGUGCCAGCAGCCGCGGUAAUACGGAGGGUGCGAGCGUUAAUCGGAAUAACUGGGCGUAAAGGGCACGCAGGCGGUUAUUUAAGUGAGGUGUGAAAGCCCCGGGCUUAACCUGGGAAUUGCAUUUCAGACUGGGUAACUAGAGUACUUUAGGGAGGGGUAGAAUUCCACGUGUAGCGGUGAAAUGCGUAGAGAUGUGGAGGAAUACCGAAGGCGAAGGCAGCCCCUUGGGAAUGUACUGACGCUCAUGUGCGAAAGCGUGGGGAGCAAACAGGAUUAGAUACCCUGGUAGUCCACGCUGUAAACGCUGUCGAUUUGGGGAUUGGGCUUUAAGCUUGGUGCCCGUAGCUAACGUGAUAAAUCGACCGCCUGGGGAGUACGGCCGCAAGGUUA